This is a long non-coding RNA of Columba livia (rock pigeon), 1097 nucleotides long. RefSeq lists it as uncharacterized. The transcript is spliced from 3 exons. The record is from RefSeq and is a predicted model, not a curated record. NCBI's taxonomy places the organism in Eukaryota, Metazoa, Chordata, Aves, Columbiformes, Columbidae.
AGCUGCAGCAGUAAUGCUGUGCCUUCUGCUGCAGCUGCCAGCACUACCAUGGUGCUGGUGGGCAUGAAAUCUCUGUAGCAAGCAUUAGAAAAUCUGCACUGGUGAGAACUGCACUUCUGCCAGCACAGCAAGAGGCACAGCAUGACAGCAGCCAGGAUCUGAAGGAGGCUGCUCCCAACCAGACUAGAGAUUCUGGAGCAACCCUCUGGUAGGCAAGGCUGGGGUGAGACUCCAGUCUGCCCAUGCCACUAGCCCAGGCUGCCCCUGCUCUUGGGGCCCUCAGCAGAGGGGGCACUGCAGACAUGAUGCUGGUCUGCAGAGCCCUGGGGUGGAUGCCCCAGGGGAGGGUGCCAGCACCAGGCUUUGUGCUGGAGGAGGAGAAUCUAGGUCACAGAUCCUCUUUGGGAACAAGUACAUUUGAUGCUGCCAAGGGAAACAAACUGACUUGAAAGAAACAGGAGAAAGGGGAGCAAAGUGUCUUGAAAGCAACAGGACAAUGGGGAGAAAUAACUCAGUGAUUGAAACAAGGAUACUACAGGAAAGGAAGGAUGAAGACGAGAAGGAGGAAGAUAUUUGGUUUGCUGGGCAGCCUGUCCUUCCCCAUGGUGCAGAGCAGGUCACGUGAAUUUUGCCUGUCAGCUAAAGCCUUCAUAUUAACUGCAUUUUCCUGGAGAACCAGACACAUGUUUUGGUAAACCUAGCAAUGGAACGCAAACUUAUUGAUAAGCAUGGAUGGACAUCUCGCAAGAGGGGCAACGAGAAGCCGGUGACCAAGAAACUGGCCAGCUGUGUAUAACAUUCCAUUCACGUGAAUACUUCAUAUAAAAGUGGGAGAUCAUGAGGAUCUCGUCCCUUUUGCCUUUGCUUUUUCCCUUCUGCUUAUGGCCGACGUUAGGAGAGGACCUUGCUAGUCAUCCCUGCGAACUGAGGCCUAGUGACAGACUGAAUCCAUCUCCGGUUGGCUGCAGAGUCCAAUCCAGGACUUUGGUUGCCAGCUCUGCAGUUGCUGAGACUUUCAAGAUUGGUUUUGUAUAUUUUGUAUUAUUUUCUCUAUUCUUAUUAGUAGCAUUAGUAAAACAUUAUUAAUUUUUCCAACU